Molecule: long non-coding RNA, 3169 nt
Organism: Lagopus muta (rock ptarmigan)
Lineage: Eukaryota; Metazoa; Chordata; Aves; Galliformes; Phasianidae
Exons: 8
Source: RefSeq, a predicted model, not a curated record
GGGCGCAGCAGCGGCCGGCCUUGGGCAGCAAGCAGGCAGCAGGAGGCAGUCGCGGAGCCAAGCCUUGAGGAAGCAGCAGCUCAGGCAGCAGGCCCAGGAGAGUUCGUCAGCAUGCGGGAGUCACUUCGUGAGGAAUCUGAUAGUCCGGAAUCCUCCGUUCUUCUUCACGAGGAAUCUGUUGCCAGAAAACCUCUCCUCAUGCUUUUCGGUUCCUCUUUUUAUCCUCCUUGUUCUCCUGCCUACGUGACAAGGAACGGCCUUGAGCAAGAAUCACUGAGUACCCGCUGAGAUAGCCAUCGUCCUGAGGAACAGGGGAGAAGGAGAAUGAGUGUCCCCCUGGGAGCUUUGGCUUGGCUAGUGUUGGGCAUGAGUGUUGAUCCCACUAAGCAGCAAAAUCCCAUUUACCUGAUACCUGGCAGAUGUUUGCGCAGACCUGGGAGCUGAGCCUGACCUUCAGUCAGUUGCUGGCCCCAUCAGGUCGGGUGAAAGUCACCUUCAAGUCAAAAUAUCCACACAGUGCCAAGCUGGCUGCUAAGCCUGAGUGAAUUUACUGCAUGGUGCUUCCAGCCACUGCUGGACAUACAGAAGAGAACAUGAACAGCCAUUGUCCAUCCGGACAGACGUUCUGUGUGUAAAAAGGUAAUCCUUUUCCCAGGAGAUCCUGAGUAUAUCUGGCUCAUAAACACAUUCCUGCGUCUGCUCGGUUAGAGAGUUAGUCCUGGGUGAUGUGAAUUUCUAUAGUUCAUCAGAUCUGACCCAGCUGUUGGGCUGCAAGGAAACGUUUGCUGUAGACUCCAAGAGAUCAGCAGCAGUCCUGGCAGGUUGUUGAACUUGGGCUCCGUCUUUUGACAGGAAGCCAUCUGAACCUGAUGCAUGACAGGAUGUGGUUUCUCAAGCAGAAUAGCUGCAUUCUUGCAGGAGACGAUGGGCAGAGGGAAUUUUAAUUUUAGCAGUUUAACAUGGAAUCACUCAUGUGCUUAUGCAACUCUUAAGUCAAAAGGGGAUGAGAGCACGGUCAUUCUGCACAACCUUUUGUGGAACUCUAAUAGCUUAAGUUGUCCUUCACAGAGCUGCCUGGCGAGGAGUGUGUGACCAGGGAGAAUUAAGUGUGGAGGAAACCUGCUUGAGACUGACCUGAUCUCAUGCUGCUGCCUAUGGGAAACCGUAGGACUUUUGUACCAUCAAUACAAUCUUUGCUGGGUCUCAAAAGAAUUCAUUCUAGUAGCUUAGCAAUCUAUACAAUGAAUGAUAAAAACAAAAUUCUGUCUGGCAAAAACUGCUGCCAAUGUGCAAAAAUAUCUACCGAAUCCUCAUGCCAUUAAAACCAUCUUGUUGAAGUCAUCUGCUCCAGACAGAAAGAUAUUUUACUGAAUGCUUUGUUCUGUGGUUUUUCUCCUCAGAUUUCUGUGAGAGCACACGUAUCAUGAGGCAUGUCAAAGUUGUCUCAUGGGCAAAACCACGUAAAUAACAAAUGUGUCAGUUUUUUAACAUUUUGUGGAGGGAAAUAGCAAACCAUGUUGCUUUAACUGUUCAGGCAGUUCUCAGAGAUGUGAGAGAAAAGAAGGAUUUUGUAGCAUGUCCAAGCCUGGAGUAGGAGAGGUCUUAGCUGUGCCUGUAGCCCUUCAGAUGACCAUUGUGAGGUCACGAAAAGUGUUUUCUAUGCCUCAGUCUUCAGCUGUGUUUAUAAGACAAUGAUUGUGUAUCUGUUCUGGGCUCUGCUAAUGAAAUCUAUAACACAGGGCCUACACGUUACUUGGCUGACUCCUGAGUUCCAGCCAAGAGCUCAGUGUGUGUACUUCUGUGACAUGCAGACUUGGUUCAUGCUCCUGAAAAGAGUUUACUGCAGCACUUCAGCAUUUGAGGUUUCUCUGUUACACUGGAUCCUCAUCCUUAAUGCAGCUAAUGCAUGGAAGGAGAGCAAACUUUCCUAUUCCUUGCCUUAAUCCCCUGUGCGGUUGCUUAGGGUGAAUCAUUAACCAAGCACCUAAGUAUGGUGAAGCAAAAAUGUUUGUUGAGUGUUUUUGCAGACGGCAUGGAGUGGAGGCCUUCUGCAGGAGGAAUGGCUCUGCUAUCCUACAGGAGCUGCAGCACUACUGCCUGCUCACUCACCCGCUUCCUCCAGCACAGCACCUCUGCUUACACACUGUUGGAUUGAAGUUGCUCCUGCUUUUGGGAUGAGAAAAAGGAACGGUGGAUGUAACCUGGAGAAAGGAUUUAAGAGAUCUUUCUGUUUGCCUUGGGCUGUGAUUUCCUGUGGGCAGCAACGAAGAACAGCAUGAUCUAGAUAAACUCUACUUAACGUGCUUAUUCUGAUGGAGGUGGAUUGGCAUUGUCUUUUUUCCAGGAGUCAAGACUGAAGAAUUACAGAAAUACUGCAGUGUUAUCAAGUGGAUCAUUUAAGUGAACGUGGUAGUGAGGAAAGUAUCAAGAUUACAGACUGGAUUCCUGGAGCAGAUCAGUAGACUUUCAUGGCCAGACAACAGAACAAGCUGACCAAGUCCAUGUAGCCAAUUCUGCAGUCAAAACCAAAGUGCUGGGACUCAGAAGGUUUCGCUUGUUAAUUUAACUGCGAGUAAAUAAAGAAAUGCUGUUGGCCCUAUUAAUCACAGUGUAGGCCUGAGGGAUAACGGCAGAUGACUCAUGGACCAGACACCAGUGACAGCGUGUUACUCUGUGUCUGUUGGCCAAGUGUUACUGACUGAAAUCACUGGCUCUACCUCAGUUCACUGCAGCAAAAUGUCUGGUCUUGUUUGGAUUUGCUUGAGAAAUGACCUUCAUUGUUCUUAUCCACAUUCUCACCUUAUACAAUGUCUGUGUGUGUGCCAGAGUCACCUCCCCUGCAAGGGUGGACAGAUUUAGGGAUGCUCAAAAUGGCACGGCUCAUGCAGGAAAAUUGUAUAUGACUCUAAGGAAUACUGCAAUAAAAAACACAGCACAAGUCCAGAGUGAAUACAUCCAUGAGACACAGUGAUGACGAACUGCUUUUAGAUUGGCACUAAUCAGCUGUUCUGUGACAAGAUGGUUUGAGAGACGUUUGCUUCAGAUCCCGAGGCCUCAUCACUUCUUACUGAUGUAGAAGGUGUUUGGUUUGCUUUCCUGCUUUUGCUUAACUGGCUAGCAAGUGAAUUCAGAGUGAGCAGGUCGGAUCAGGAACAAGAAGGACCUGAAG